This 208-nucleotide ribosomal RNA is filed under the name uncultured bacterium. RNAcentral describes it as "partial 16S ribosomal RNA". It matches the Rfam family "Bacterial small subunit ribosomal RNA", at positions 28 to 236 of the family's 1533-position model. The record is from RNAcentral.
GACGAACGCUGGCGGCGUGCUUAACACAUGCAAGUCGAACGGUAACAGGCCCUUCGGGGUGCUGACGAGUGGCGGACGGGUGAGUAAUGCUUAGGAAUCUGCCUAGUAGUGGGGGAUAACCCGGGGAAACUCGGGCUAAUACCGCAUACGCCCUACGGGGGAAAGGCGGGGACGUUUCGGCCGUCGCGCUAUUAGAUGAGCCCAACGU